RNAcentral lists this ribosomal RNA (254 nucleotides) under Clostridioides difficile. Its description in RNAcentral is "partial 23S ribosomal RNA". It matches the Rfam family "Bacterial large subunit ribosomal RNA", at positions 1769 to 2022 of the family's 2925-position model. The record is from RNAcentral. Lineage: Bacteria; Bacillati; Bacillota; Clostridia; Peptostreptococcales; Peptostreptococcaceae.
UCAGGUGGCCGCAGAGAAUAGGCCCAAGCGACUGUUUACCAAAAACAUAGGUUUCUGCUAAGUCGCAAGACGAUGUAUAGGAGCUGACGCCUGCCCGGUGCUGGAAGGUUAAGGGGAUCUGUUAGAGCAAUCGAAGCAGUGAACUUAAGCCCCAGUAAACGGCGGCCGUAACUAUAACGGUCCUAAGGUAGCGAAAUUCCUUGUCGGGUAAGUUCCGACCCGCACGAAAGGCGUAACGAUUUGGGCACUGUCUC